Molecule: ribosomal RNA, 1528 nt
Filed under: Klebsiella pneumoniae
Lineage: Bacteria; Pseudomonadati; Pseudomonadota; Gammaproteobacteria; Enterobacterales; Enterobacteriaceae
Description: bacterial SSU rRNA
Rfam family: Bacterial small subunit ribosomal RNA
Source: RNAcentral
AGAGUUUGAUCAUGGCUCAGAUUGAACGCUGGCGGCAGGCCUAACACAUGCAAGUCGAGCGGUAGCACAGAGAGCUUGCUCUCGGGUGACGAGCGGCGGACGGGUGAGUAAUGUCUGGGAAACUGCCUGAUGGAGGGGGAUAACUACUGGAAACGGUAGCUAAUACCGCAUAACGUCGCAAGACCAAAGUGGGGGACCUUCGGGCCUCAUGCCAUCAGAUGUGCCCAGAUGGGAUUAGCUAGUAGGUGGGGUAACGGCUCACCUAGGCGACGAUCCCUAGCUGGUCUGAGAGGAUGACCAGCCACACUGGAACUGAGACACGGUCCAGACUCCUACGGGAGGCAGCAGUGGGGAAUAUUGCACAAUGGGCGCAAGCCUGAUGCAGCCAUGCCGCGUGUGUGAAGAAGGCCUUCGGGUUGUAAAGCACUUUCAGCGGGGAGGAAGGCGAUAAGGUUAAUAACCUUGGCGAUUGACGUUACCCGCAGAAGAAGCACCGGCUAACUCCGUGCCAGCAGCCGCGGUAAUACGGAGGGUGCAAGCGUUAAUCGGAAUUACUGGGCGUAAAGCGCACGCAGGCGGUCUGUCAAGUCGGAUGUGAAAUCCCCGGGCUCAACCUGGGAACUGCAUUCGAAACUGGCAGGCUAGAGUCUUGUAGAGGGGGGUAGAAUUCCAGGUGUAGCGGUGAAAUGCGUAGAGAUCUGGAGGAAUACCGGUGGCGAAGGCGGCCCCCUGGACAAAGACUGACGCUCAGGUGCGAAAGCGUGGGGAGCAAACAGGAUUAGAUACCCUGGUAGUCCACGCCGUAAACGAUGUCGAUUUGGAGGUUGUGCCCUUGAGGCGUGGCUUCCGGAGCUAACGCGUUAAAUCGACCGCCUGGGGAGUACGGCCGCAAGGUUAAAACUCAAAUGAAUUGACGGGGGCCCGCACAAGCGGUGGAGCAUGUGGUUUAAUUCGAUGCAACGCGAAGAACCUUACCUGGUCUUGACAUCCACAGAACUUUCCAGAGAUGGAUUGGUGCCUUCGGGAACUGUGAGACAGGUGCUGCAUGGCUGUCGUCAGCUCGUGUUGUGAAAUGUUGGGUUAAGUCCCGCAACGAGCGCAACCCUUAUCCUUUGUUGCCAGCGGUUAGGCCGGGAACUCAAAGGAGACUGCCAGUGAUAAACUGGAGGAAGGUGGGGAUGACGUCAAGUCAUCAUGGCCCUUACGACCAGGGCUACACACGUGCUACAAUGGCAUAUACAAAGAGAAGCGACCUCGCGAGAGCAAGCGGACCUCAUAAAGUAUGUCGUAGUCCGGAUUGGAGUCUGCAACUCGACUCCAUGAAGUCGGAAUCGCUAGUAAUCGUAGAUCAGAAUGCUACGGUGAAUACGUUCCCGCAGCUUGUACACACCGCCCGUCACACCAUGGGAGUGGGUUGCAAAAGAAGUAGGUAGCUUAACCUUCGGGAGGGCGCUUACCACUUUGUGAUUCAUGACUGGGGUGAAGUCGUAACAAGGUAACCGUAGGGGAACCUGCGGUUGGAUCACCU